GACGAACGCUGGCGGCGCGCUUAACACAUGCAAGUCGAACGGAAAGGCCCUGCUUUUGUGGGGUGCUCGAGUGGCGAACGGGUGAGUAACAAGUGAGUAACCUGCCCUUGACUUUGGGAUAACUUCAGGAAACUGGGGCUAAUACCGGAUAGGAGCUCCUGCUGCAUGGUGGGGGUUGGAAAGUUUCGGCGGUUGGGGAUGGACUCGCGGCUUAUCAGCCUGUUGGUGGGGUAGUGGCUUACCAAGGCUUUGACGGGUAGCCGGCCUGAGAGGGUGACCGGCCACAUUGGGACUGAGAUACGGCCCAGACUCCUACGGGAGGCAGCAGUGGGGAAUAUUGCACAAUGGGCGGAAGCCUGAUGCAGCAACGCCGCGUGCGGGAUGACGGCCUUCGGGUUGUAACCCGCUUUCGCCUGUGACGAAGCGUGAGUGACGGUAAUGGGUAAAGAAGCACCGGCUAACUACGUG
Molecule: ribosomal RNA, 468 nt
Filed under: uncultured bacterium
Lineage: Bacteria
Description: partial 16S ribosomal RNA
Rfam family: Bacterial small subunit ribosomal RNA
Source: RNAcentral